GACGAACGCUGGCGGCGUGCUUAACACAUGCAAGUCGAACGGAAAGGCCCUGCUUUUGUGGGGUGCUCGAGUGGCGAACGGGUGAGUAACACGUGAGUAACCUGCCCUUGACUUUGGGAUAACUUCAGGAAACUGGGGCUAAUACCGGAUAGGAGCUCCUGCUGCAUGGUGGGGGUUGGAAAGUUUCGGCGGUUGGGGAUGGACUCGCGGCUUAUCAGCUUGUUGGUGGGGUAGUGGCUUACCAAGGCUUUGGCGGGUAGCCGGCCUGAGAGGGUGACCGGCCACAUUGGGACUGAGAUACGGCCCAGACUCCUACGGGAGGCAGCAGUGGGGAAUAUUGCACAAUGGGCGGAAGCCUGAUGCAGCAACGCCGCGUGCGGGAUGACGGCCUUCGGGUUGUAAACUGCUUUCGCCUGUGACGAAGCGUGAGUGACGGUAAUGGGUAAAGAAGCACCGGCUAACUACGUG
Molecule: ribosomal RNA, 468 nt
Filed under: uncultured bacterium
Lineage: Bacteria
Description: partial 16S ribosomal RNA
Rfam family: Bacterial small subunit ribosomal RNA
Source: RNAcentral